RNAcentral lists this ribosomal RNA (446 nucleotides) under uncultured bacterium. Its description in RNAcentral is "bacterial SSU rRNA". It matches the Rfam family "Bacterial small subunit ribosomal RNA", at positions 331 to 793 of the family's 1533-position model. The record is from RNAcentral.
CCAGACUCCUACGGGAGGCAGCAGUGGGGAAUAUUGCACAAUGGGGGAAACCCUGAUGCAGCGACGCCGCGUGAAGGACGAAGUAUUUCGGUACGUAAACUUCUAUCAGCAGGGAAGAAAAUGACGGUACCUGACCAAGAAGCCCCGGCUAACUACGUGCCAGCAGCCGCGGUAAUACGUAGGGGGCAAGCGUUAUCCGGAUUUACUGGGUGUAAAGGGAGCGUAGACGGCCAUGCAAGUCUGAUGUGAAAACCCGGGGCUCAACCCCGGGACUGCAUUGGAAACUGUGCGGCUGGAGUGUCGGAGAGGCAAGUGGAAUUCCUAGUGUAGCGGUGAAAUGCGUAGAUAUUAGGAGGAACACCAGUGGCGAAGGCGGCUUGCUGGACGACGACUGACGUUGAGGCUCGAAAGCGUGGGGAGCAAACAGGAUUAGAUACCCGCGUAUG